AUGUGCAUGGAUGCAUGGUAAUGAUGAUGGUAAGUGUAUGACAUGAUGGUGAUGACUAUAUGAUGAUGUAUGUACAUGAGGUAUGAUGAUAUGUGCAUUGUGCAUGGAUGCUUAAAUGUCAUGUGAUGCUAUGAUUGUGAUGAUUGUGUGGCAUGAUGCAUUGAGUGGUUUAUUGGUCCUUUACCUGCUGAGUGGCUGUACUCACCCCUUUUGGGGAAUAACAUUUCAGACUAGAUAAGAUACCUCUGCUGCCACUGUCACC
This 262-nucleotide long non-coding RNA is filed under the name Eucalyptus grandis. RNAcentral describes it as "long non-coding RNA (EGRA_LNC000225)". Lineage: Eukaryota; Viridiplantae; Streptophyta; Magnoliopsida; Myrtales; Myrtaceae. The record is from RNAcentral.